This 789-nucleotide ribosomal RNA is filed under the name uncultured bacterium. RNAcentral describes it as "bacterial SSU rRNA". It matches the Rfam family "Bacterial small subunit ribosomal RNA", at positions 8 to 796 of the family's 1533-position model. The record is from RNAcentral.
AGAGUUUGAUCAUGGCUCAGAAUAAACGUUGGCGGCGUGCUUAACACAUGCAAGUCGCGCGAGAAAGCUCCUUCGGGAGUGAGUACAGCGGCGGACGGGUGCGUAACACGUAAGAAUUUGCCCUUCAGUGAGGAAUACCCACGAGAAAUUGUGGUUAAUACUGCAUACGUUCCCUCGGGAAGAAAGGUGGCUUUAUGCUGCCGCUGAAGGAUAAGCUUGCGCGCUAUUAGCUAGUUGGUGGGGUAAAGGCCUACCAAGGCGAUGAUGGCUAGCCGGCCUGAGAGGGUGUACGGCCACAUUGGGACUGAGAUACGGCCCAGACUCCUACGGGAGGCAGCAGUGAGGAAUAUUGCGCAAUGGGCGAAAGCCUGACGCAGCGACGCCGCGUGGAGGAUGAAGGUUUUCGGAUCGUAAACUCCUGUUAAGUGGGAAGAAAGCUCGAUCUCUAACAUAGAUCGAGGAUGACGGUACCACUAGAGAAAGCACCGGCUAACUUCGUGCCAGCAGCCGCGGUAAUACGAGGGGUGCAAACGUUAUUCGGAUUUACUGGGCGUAAAGGGUGUGUAGACGGCAUACUAAGUUCGUUGUUUAAUCUUCCGGCCUAACCGGAAGCUCGCGAUGGAAACUGGUAAGCUAGAGGUUGGAAGAGAGAAGCGGAAUUCUCGGAGUAGCGGUAAAAUGCGUAGAUCUCGAGAGGAACACCGAUGGCGAAGGCAGCUUCUUGGUCCAUACCUGACGUUGAGACACGAAAGCGUGGGUAGCAAACAGGAUUAGAUACCCUAGUAGUCC